UUGAUCCUGGCUCAGGAUGAACGCUAGCGGGAGGCCUAAUACAUGCAAGUCGAACGGUAACAGGGCAGAACUUCGGUUCAGCCGCUGACGAGUGGCGCACGGGUGAGUAACGCGUACAUAACCUGCCUUCAAGAGAGGGAUAGCCCUGGGAAACCGGGAUUAAUACCUCAUAGUAUUGCUAAGUCGCAUGGCUGUGCAAUUAAAGUUUCGGCGCUUGAAGAUGGAUGUGCGUGCCAUUAGCUAGUUGGUAAGGUAACGGCUUACCAAGGCAACGAUGGCUAGGGGGCGUGAGAGCGUGACCCCCCACACGGGUACUGAGACACGGACCCGACUCCUACGGGAGGCAGCAGUAAGGAAUAUUGGACAAUGGAGGCAACUCUGAUCCAGCCAUCCCGCGUGCAGGAUGACUGCCCUAUGGGUUGUAAACUGCUUUUAUUUGGGAAGAAACCUGUUCAUUUACUGAACAGUUGACGGUACCUUAUGAAUAAGCACCGGCUAACUCCGUGCCAGCAGCCGCGGUAAUACGGAGGGUGCAAGCGUUAUCCGGAAUCACUGGGUUUAAAGGGAGCGUAGGCGGCAUGACAAGUCAGAGGUGAAAGGCUGUAGCUUAACUAUGGAAUUGCCUUUGAUACUGUUGUGCUUGAAUCGAGUUGAGGUCAGCAGAAUGUGACAUGUAGCGGUGAAAUGCAUAGAUAUGUCAUAGAAUACCAAUUGUGAAGACAGCUGGCUGGACUUGUAUUGACGCUGAGGCUCGAAAGCGUGGGGAGCAAACAGGAUUAGAUACCCUGGUAGUCCACGCCCUAAACGAUGCUUACUCGAUGUUGGCUUUUAAAGUCAGCGUCCAAGGGAAACCAUUAAGUAAACCACCUGGGGAG
Molecule: ribosomal RNA, 875 nt
Filed under: uncultured organism
Description: bacterial SSU rRNA
Rfam family: Bacterial small subunit ribosomal RNA
Source: RNAcentral